Molecule: transfer-messenger RNA, 156 nt
Filed under: Planctomycetia bacterium 21-64-5
Lineage: Bacteria; Pseudomonadati; Planctomycetota; Planctomycetia
Description: partial transfer-messenger RNA
Rfam family: transfer-messenger RNA
About the family: Bacterial tmRNA, also known as 10Sa RNA or SsrA, is named for its dual tRNA and mRNA-like properties. Its role is to liberate the mRNA from a stalled ribosome.
Source: RNAcentral
GGGGGCGAACUGGGUUCGACCGGACAGCUUGAAGCGCAAGUGGCGUGCCGUGGUUGGUCAGUUGGCCACGUAAAAAGCUGACCAAAUAUCUUCAAUUGCCGAAGAUAGCUACGCUUUGGCUGCCUAACUAAGGCAACCCCGGCUGCGGUCCUUCGU